UUUACAGUUUUCUCUAACUAUCAACACUAUGUGGAACAUAUUAAGUAUUACGUUUCUUUUCCAAAUAACUUUUAGUGUAUUAAAUUACAAUGAUGCUAUAAGUAUUAAAUUUUCAAACCUGGAAUGUGAGUCCAAAAAUCAAUCAUGGAUCAUUGUACACAGUUGUCGACUGAAAGCAAUCAAUAGGCAUCGAGUGGAUGUUAACUUUAAUUCGACUAUUCUUCAUCCAGUGAAUAACUUGCAUGCCCGUGGUCAGUUGCUAAAAAGGCAAAUGGUUAUAAGCCGUGGCUAAUAGAUUACACAGUUGAUGUAUGUGCAUUUUAAGAAAAAAUAACCAUCCAUUUGUAAAGAUACUCUACGACAUUUUUAGACCAAAGUCAAACAUUAAUCACACAUGUCCUUACAUGGGCCCAAUUAUAGUGAAAGACUUAUAUCUUACACCGAAUUCCAUACGACUUCCUUUUCCAACUGGUGAUUAUUGCCUUCUUAUAGAAUGGAAAUUUGAUAGAAGGAUACAAAUUAUUACGAAAUAUUGUAUGGAAUAUAUCGA
Molecule: long non-coding RNA, 550 nt
Organism: Drosophila sulfurigaster albostrigata
Lineage: Eukaryota; Metazoa; Arthropoda; Insecta; Diptera; Drosophilidae
Exons: 3
Source: RefSeq, a predicted model, not a curated record